Molecule: long non-coding RNA, 508 nt
Filed under: Mytilus galloprovincialis (Mediterranean mussel)
Lineage: Eukaryota; Metazoa; Mollusca; Bivalvia; Mytilida; Mytilidae
Source: RNAcentral
CAGGGCCGUAACUACCUAUGAGGCAGGGGAGGCAGUUGCCUCCCCUGAAUUUUCUACACCAAAAUUUUUUUUUGAAGUAAUACAAUGAAAUAUUGACAAUAUGUCCACGAAGAGUUUGAAUUUAUAGUAUAAACGACACAAGUUCACAGUUUUAACAGUGUUAAUAUCAUGAUACGUGAUAUAUGUCAUUUUCCGGAUUUUUGAUCGAUAGUGAAACGUUUCAGUAUUUGUUGGUUUUUUUUUCGUGUGGCCGUCCGUCUGUUAUUCAGUGUUCGUACGAGAACACAUAUUAAACUUUGCUUUUCGAUAAUUUUGAAUAAAACAUAACUGUUCACAUUUAUUUAGGGACUCAAUUAAGCAUAGGAAGUCCACUUUGUAUAAUAUCGGAAAUUCGGUACCAGCGGAAUCAGCAGUUGGAUCAUUUUUUUAACAUUUCCCGAUCGUACGAGAACAUUAUGGUUAAUGCAUUAGUAGUUAAACACUCCCAUUCGUUGUAGCACGGACUUUC